This 329-nucleotide ribosomal RNA is filed under the name uncultured eukaryote. RNAcentral's name for it is "partial 18S ribosomal RNA". It matches the Rfam family "Eukaryotic small subunit ribosomal RNA", at positions 1470 to 1796 of the family's 1831-position model. The record is from RNAcentral.
CCCCUAGAUGUUCUGGGCCGCACGCGCGCUACACUGAACAGUUCAACAAGUCUUAACCUUGGCCGAUAGGUCUGGGUAAUCUUUGAACGCUGUUCGUGAUUGGGAUAGACCUUUGCAAUUAUGGGUCUUCAACGAGGAAUUCCCAGUAAGUGCAAGUCAUAAGCUUGCGCUGACUACGUCCCUGCCCUUUGUACACACCGCCCGUCGCUACUACCGAUUGAAUGAUUUAGUGAGGACUUCGGACUGGGACCGAUGCGGCUUUCGGACUGCGUCGGUAUUCUGGAAAGAUGUCCAAACUGUAUCAUUUAGAGGAAGUAAAAGUCGUAACA